GAUGAACGCUGGCGGCGUGCUUAACACAUGCAAGUCGAACGGAAAGGCCAGUGCUUUCACUGGUGCUCGAGUGGCGAACGGGUGAGUAACACGUGGGUAAUCUGCCCUUCACUUUGGGAUAAGCCUGGGAAACUGGGGCUAAUACCAGAUAGGACCUUGUUCUGCAUGGUGUGGUGUAAAGAUUUUUGGGCGUGGGGUUAGCUUGCGGGCUAUCAGCUUUUUGGGGGGGUGAUGGCCUACCAAGGGGUCGUCGGGGAGCCGGUCCUGGAGGGUGUACGGCCACCUUGGGGCUGAGGGAAGGCCCAGGCUGCUACGGGAGGCAAGAGGGGGGAAAAUUGACCAAUGGGCGCAAGGCUGGUGAAGAGAGGCCGCGGGGGGGAUGACGGGCUUCGGGGUGAAAAACCGUUUUGGAACUGAAGGAGCUUUUUGUGACGGUAGGUGGAGAAGAAGCACCGGCUAACUACGUG
This 467-nucleotide ribosomal RNA is filed under the name uncultured bacterium. RNAcentral describes it as "partial 16S ribosomal RNA". It matches the Rfam family "Bacterial small subunit ribosomal RNA", at positions 28 to 507 of the family's 1533-position model. The record is from RNAcentral.